RNAcentral lists this ribosomal RNA (459 nucleotides) under uncultured bacterium. RNAcentral describes it as "partial 16S ribosomal RNA". It matches the Rfam family "Bacterial small subunit ribosomal RNA", at positions 339 to 795 of the family's 1533-position model. The record is from RNAcentral.
CUACGGGACGCUCCAGUGAGGAAUAUUGGACAAUGGUCGAAAGACUGAUCCAGCCAUGCCGCGUGCAGGAUGACUGCCCUAUGGGUUGUAAACUGCUUUUAUACGGGAAGAAAAACACCUACGUGUAGGUGACUGACGGUACCGUAAGAAUAAGGACCGGCUAACUCCGUGCCAGCAGCCGCGGUAAUACGGAGGGUCCAAGCGUUAUCCGGAAUCAUUGGGUUUAAAGGGUCCGUAGGCGGGCUAUUAAGUCAGAGGUGAAAGUUUGCAGCUCAACUGUAAAAUUGCCUUUGAUACUGAUAGUCUUGAAUUGUAGUGAAGUGGUUAGAAUAUGUGGUGUAGCGGUGAAAUGCAUAGAUAUCACAUAGAAUACCGAUUGCGAAGGCAGAUCACUAACUAUAUAUUGACGCUGAGGGACGAAAGCGUGGGGAGCGAACGGGAUUAGAUACCCGAGUAGUC